AAGAGGAGGAAGCAGGGAGUGCCUCCUGGUGGGAGCUGGUGUCACAGGGGGAUGCUGCGACAGCCAGCAAUGUGGCACCAAAUCUGGGAGGGAGUCGGGGAAGAGCAUCUCCCCUCUGAUCUCCUGUCUGUGCCUCUGGCUGACUAAACCCAAGGGGAAGCCAGAGGGCAAGGGAGAGCGAGGAUGCUCGGUGGAUCAGCCUUUCAGGCCACAAGCAGGUUGCUGUUGGUGGUGGUAUUUCCUUCUCCCAUCGUCUGUCUCCAUCAGGGCUGGAUACCCUGGCAUUCUGGUGUCUCUUUGUGAAAAGGCUGGCACAGAUUUUACUCCCAUUUCCCCAAGAAGCAUAUCCUUGGACACCAAACUUUACCUCUUUCUAAGACAAGGCUGAGAAGACUUAUCUUGUGAAGUGAACUAACAGGCAACUUUAACAUCUGUCUUCCUGAGGCACUCAGACAGGAAGCCGCAAAGCUUUCAAUCAUCUGGAUGCCGCAGCAAUGCAAUCGAGGAGCGGAGAAAUGAACGGGGCCCUUCUCACUCUAUCCUCUGCUAUCAACUUUGGAAUAUUGUCUUUCUAAGAUGCUAGAAAACACCAUGCAAUGCAGGCCAAAACAAGACAGGUGGCAUCCAUUGGAAUUGGAAAUGAGGUGCUGAGAUAAUGGACUGGGGCUCCACCGUGGCUGGCCUCAGGGAGUGGCUCCCGGUCAGAGGGCUCAUUGUGUUUCUCUCUUAAUGAGCAGACUUCAU
RNAcentral lists this long non-coding RNA (744 nucleotides) under Equus caballus (horse). RNAcentral describes it as "lncRNA (ENSECAG00000044430.1)". The record is from RNAcentral. Lineage: Eukaryota; Metazoa; Chordata; Mammalia; Perissodactyla; Equidae.